Molecule: long non-coding RNA, 343 nt
Filed under: Helianthus annuus (common sunflower)
Lineage: Eukaryota; Viridiplantae; Streptophyta; Magnoliopsida; Asterales; Asteraceae
Description: hypothetical non coding rna
Source: RNAcentral
CAGGAGGCCGCUCGGCAGGCUCAGCUACAGGCUCUGGGCCUCGAUCAGCCUCAGGACGAGCCUCAGGCUCAGCCUGUAUUCGAGGAGCCGGCUCAGGAGGAGCAGGUCGAGGAGAUCCCGGUACCACCAGUUCAGCCAGCUCCUGAGCCGCCACAGUACCCGCAGCACGUUUACGCUGACCUGCCUCCGGCAGCGCGUGAGGUGGCUCGGGACUUCGACCGGCGCCUCAGACGUCAGGGCGCACGCAUUGACUGGAUCGUCGAGACGCUCGUUGCUUUACGAGAGCUCGCUGGGUUGCCUCCACUUCCCCUCCCACCGUCCCCACCGCACGAGGAUUAGUACC